GAUGAAGAACGUAGCGAAAUGCGAUACGUAAUGUGAAUUGCAGAAUUCAGUGAAUCAUCGAGACUUUGAACGCACAUUGCGCCCCCUGGUAUUCCGGGGGGCAUGCCUGUCCGAGCGUCAUUGCUGCCCUCAAGCACGGCUUGUGUGUUGGGCCUCCGUCCUCCUCCCGGGGGACGGGCCCGAAAGGCAGCGGCGGCACCGCGUCCGGUCCUCGAGCGUAUGGGGCUUCGUCACCCGCUCUUGUAGGCCCGGCCGGCGCUUGCCGACACAUCAAUCUUUUUUCCAGGUUGACCUCGGAUCAGGUAGGGAUACCCGCUGAACUUAAGCAUAUCAUAAGCGGAGGA
RNAcentral lists this unclassified non-coding RNA (344 nucleotides) under soil metagenome. RNAcentral describes it as "partial contains 5.8S ribosomal RNA, internal transcribed spacer 2, and large subunit ribosomal RNA". The stretch from base 1 to 120 matches the Rfam family "5.8S ribosomal RNA", at positions 35 to 154 of the family's 154-position model. The record is from RNAcentral.